RNAcentral lists this transfer RNA (67 nucleotides) under Amblyomma javanense. RNAcentral describes it as "tRNA-Met". The record is from RNAcentral. Lineage: Eukaryota; Metazoa; Arthropoda; Arachnida; Ixodida; Ixodidae.
AAUAAAGUAAGCUAAAUUAAUAAGCUAGUGGGCUCAUACCCCAAAAAUGAAAACUUUUCCUUUAUUA